Molecule: ribosomal RNA, 450 nt
Filed under: uncultured bacterium
Lineage: Bacteria
Description: bacterial SSU rRNA
Rfam family: Bacterial small subunit ribosomal RNA
Source: RNAcentral
GUGGGGAAUUUUGGACAAUGGGCGCAAGCCUGAUCCAGCCAUGCCGCGUGCAGGAUGAAGGCCUUCGGGUUGUAAACUGCUUUUGUACGGAACGAAAAGACUCUGGUUAAUACCUGGGGUCCAUGACGGUACCGUAAGAAUAAGCACCGGCUAACUACGUGCCAGCAGCCGCGGUAAUACGUAGGGUGCGAGCGUUAAUCGGAAUUACUGGGCGUAAAGCGUGCGCAGGCGGUUAUGUAAGACAGAUGUGAAAUCCCCGGGCUCAACCUGGGAACUGCAUUUGUGACUGCAUAGCUAGAGUACGGCAGAGGGGGAUGGAAUUCCGCGUGUAGCAGUGAAAUGCGUAGAUAUGCGGAGGAACACCGAUGGCGAAGGCAAUCCCCUGGGCCUGUACUGACGCUCAUGCACGAAAGCGUGGGGAGCAAACAGGAUUAGAAACCCCGGUAGUCC